AGAGUUUGAUCAUGGCUCAGAUUGAACGCUGGCGGCAUGCCUUACACAUGCAAGUCGAACGGCAGCACGGGUGCUUGCACCUGGUGGCGAGUGGCGAACGGGUGAGUAAUAUAUCGGAACGUACCCUAGAGUGGGGGAUAACGUAGCGAAAGUUACGCUAAUACCGCAUACGAUCUACGGAUGAAAGUGGGGGAUCGCAAGACCUCAUGCUCAUGGAGCGGCCGAUAUCUGAUUAGCUAGUUGGUGGGGUAAAAGCCUACCAAGGCGACGAUCAGUAGCUGGUCUGAGAGGACGACCAGCCACACUGGAACUGAGACACGGUCCAGACUCCUACGGGAGGCAGCAGCGGGGAAUUUUGGACAAUGGGGGCAACCCUGAUCCAGCAAUGCCGCGUGAGUGAAGAAGGCCUUCGGGUUGUAAAGCUCUUUUGUCAGGGAAGAAACGGGAUUUUCUAAUACAAAGUCCUAAUGACGGUACCUGAAGAAUAAGCACCGGCUAACUACGUGCCAGCAGCCGCGGUAAUACGUAGGGUGCAAGCGUUAAUCGGAAUUACUGGGCGUAAAGCGUGCGCAGGCGGUUGUGCAAGACAGAUGUGAAAUCCCCGGGCUCAACCUGGGAAUUGCAUUUGUGACUGCACGGCUAGAGUGUGUCAGAGGGGGGUAGAAUUCCACGUGUAGCAGUGAAAUGCGUAGAGAUGUGGAGGAAUACCGAUGGCGAAGGCAGCCCCCUGGGAUAACACUGACGCUCAUGCACGAAAGCGUGGGGAGCAAACAGGAUUAGAUACCCUGGUAGUCCACGCCCUAAACGAUGUCUACUAGUUGUCGGGUCUUAAUUGACUUGGUAACGCAGCUAACGCGUGAAGUAGACCGCCUGGGGAGUACGGUCGCAAGAUUAAAACUCAAAGGAAUUGACGGGGACCCGCACAAGCGGUGGAUGAUGUGGAUUAAUUCGAUGCAACGCGAAAAACCUUACCUACCCUUGACAUGUACGGAACUUACCAGAGAUGGUUUGGUGCUCGAAAGAGAACCGUAACACAGGUGCUGCAUGGCUGUCGUCAGCUCGUGUCGUGAGAUGUUGGGUUAAGUCCCGCAACGAGCGCAACCCUUGUCAUUAGUUGCUACGAAAGGGCACUCUAAUGAGACUGCCGGUGACAAACCGGAGGAAGGUGGGGAUGACGUCAAGUCCUCAUGGCCCUUAUGGGUAGGGCUUCACACGUCAUACAAUGGUACAUACAGAGGGCCGCCAACCCGCGAGGGGGAGCUAAUCCCAGAAAGUGUAUCGUAGUCCGGAUUGUAGUCUGCAACUCGACUACAUGAAGUUGGAAUCGCUAGUAAUCGCGGAUCAGCAUGUCGCGGUGAAUACGUUCCUGGGUCUUGUACACACCGCCCGUCACACCAUGGGAGCGGGUUUCACCAGAAGUAGGUAGCCUAACCGCAAGGAGGGCGCUUACCACGGUGGGAUUCGUGACUGGGGUGAAGUCGUAACAAGGUA
Molecule: ribosomal RNA, 1491 nt
Filed under: metagenome
Description: bacterial SSU rRNA
Rfam family: Bacterial small subunit ribosomal RNA
Source: RNAcentral